RNAcentral lists this transfer RNA (76 nucleotides) under Sandaracinus sp. RNAcentral's name for it is "tRNA-Phe". It matches the Rfam family "tRNA". Rfam says of the family: Transfer RNA (tRNA) molecules are approximately 80 nucleotides in length. Their secondary structure includes four short double-helical elements and three loops (D, anti-codon, and T loops). RNAcentral also lists the same sequence under 1 other name. Lineage: Bacteria; Pseudomonadati; Myxococcota; Polyangiales; Sandaracinaceae. The record is from RNAcentral.
GGCUCGGUUGCGUAGCGGGUGCGCGCGCUUGGUUGAAGCCCAGGAGGAGCCGGUUCGAGUCCGGCCCGAGUCUCCA